RNAcentral lists this ribosomal RNA (441 nucleotides) under Vreelandella glaciei. RNAcentral's name for it is "bacterial SSU rRNA". It matches the Rfam family "Bacterial small subunit ribosomal RNA", at positions 394 to 827 of the family's 1533-position model. Lineage: Bacteria; Pseudomonadati; Pseudomonadota; Gammaproteobacteria; Oceanospirillales; Halomonadaceae. The record is from RNAcentral.
AUGCCGCGUGUGUGAUGAAGGCCUUCGGGUUGUAAAGCACUUUCAGCGAGGAAGAACGCCUGUCGGUUAAUACCCGGCAGGAAGGACAUCACUCGCAGAAGAAGCACCGGCUAACUCCGUGCCAGCAGCCGCGGUAAUACGGAGGGUGCAAGCGUUAAUCGGAAUUACUGGGCGUAAAGCGCGCGUAGGUGGCUUGAUAAGCCGGUUGUGAAAGCCCCGGGCUCAACCUGGGAACGGCAUCCGGAACUGUCAGGCUAGAGUGCAGGAGAGGAAGGUAGAAUUCCCGGUGUAGCGGUGAAAUGCGUAGAGAUCGGGAGGAAUACCAGUGGCGAAGGCGGCCUUCUGGACUGACACUGACACUGAGGUGCGAAAGCGUGGGUAGCAAACAGGAUUAGAUACCCUGGUAGUCCACGCCGUAAACGAUGUCGACUAGCCGUUGGG